Molecule: long non-coding RNA, 543 nt
Organism: Condylura cristata (star-nosed mole)
Lineage: Eukaryota; Metazoa; Chordata; Mammalia; Eulipotyphla; Talpidae
Exons: 3
Source: RefSeq, a predicted model, not a curated record
GGCAGCAAUGGACCCAUGCCAGAGCUUUGGACUGAAACCGCUACUGCAGGGCAGGCCGGACAGCACUGAACGAAGUUCUUGGUGGCGACCGCCUCUUCUGUGCCCCGCACCUACAGCUGAUGGACAGAUAAUUAUGUCAUUCCAGCCCUGGUUCCCAUGGAGAAUUUUAUUCUGUGUCAGACGAGUGAAUGACUAUGCCUUCUGCCCAGUCCUGGACUGCACUUCCCUGGCCACCCUUGCUGGUCCCCAUGACAGUCUGGCGCCAUCUAUUGGUGACUGUCCACUCUGGAUGACAUCCUGAUGGGGCGCAUACAGGGUCUGUACACCACUGGUCCUCAGGAAAGCAUCACCCAUUCCAGGAAGCCCCUGGCUAGCUGGUGCCAGUUCUGUCGGCCCUGUUUGGGGAUAUUGGGUUGGGAGAUGACUGAACAAGCAGACACAUCAGUCAUCUUCAGGCUGCAAACUGACCUUCCCUUUUUCUUUUAGAUUGUUUUAUCUAUUUAUGCACUCAGAACUAGAGUACUGGCCAGAGGUGCAGGGCAG